This 327-nucleotide small RNA is filed under the name Arabidopsis thaliana (thale cress). RNAcentral describes it as "ATSL021960". The record is from RNAcentral. Lineage: Eukaryota; Viridiplantae; Streptophyta; Magnoliopsida; Brassicales; Brassicaceae.
UAUAUCACAAUUUUUAACAUCAUUAUAUAAUAUAUAGAGUUUAAAAUUUUUUUAAUUUUUUCCGUCAUAUUUUAUGAUUCAAAAUUUUAAAAAUGAACAUAUAUUAACCAAUUGGCAAAAAAUGUGUGGGUUCAACGUCCCGCAUCGACAAAAAUAUAUAGACAAUGAUUUAUAAGCAUAUCAUAAAUAAGAUCAACAUUAAUAUAAAUAAAUGGUUUUUUUACGGGACGGGUUUGGCGGGACGGGUUUGGCAGGACGUUACUUAAUAACAAUUGUAAACUAUAAAAUAAAAAUAUAUUAUAGAUAGAUACAAUUUGCAAAAAAAAA